AUGAACCYGAAUAUCUGAUGUGAGAAAUUCAAUAUUAUUUAAUGUGAUUCAUUUUUGAAAUUAUGUUAAAUAGUAUGCACUUUUCUCAUAGUAAGACAUUGUAAUCCAUUGAUAUUAUAUCUUUAUUUGUUUAAAGAUGAUUUAACAUACGGACAAAAUGUAUAUGAUUAUUCUAUAAAUGAUAUGUUUUACAUGUCAUAUGAAUAAAAUCGUUUUGUACCUGUUUAAAUAGUCGAUGGAUUUUUUAAUUAAAAUCAUGCUUGCAAUUUAUUUUGCGUUUCGUAUCAUUAAUUUUUAAUUGAUGAUAGUAGAAAUGGCAUGUAUUUGAUUAACAAUGCGAUAGAUUUGGGAUGCCUUCGGGACCCGUCUUGA
Molecule: ribosomal RNA, 372 nt
Filed under: Stefaniola sp. 3 JOS-2019
Lineage: Eukaryota; Metazoa; Arthropoda; Insecta; Diptera; Cecidomyiidae
Description: partial large subunit ribosomal RNA
Source: RNAcentral